UGCAAUACAUGGAAACAGCCAGUUAGC
Molecule: non-coding RNA, 27 nt
Filed under: Mus musculus (house mouse)
Lineage: Eukaryota; Metazoa; Chordata; Mammalia; Rodentia; Muridae
Source: RNAcentral